This 253-nucleotide ribosomal RNA is filed under the name uncultured bacterium. Its description in RNAcentral is "partial 16S ribosomal RNA". It matches the Rfam family "Bacterial small subunit ribosomal RNA", at positions 524 to 776 of the family's 1533-position model. The record is from RNAcentral.
UACGGGGGGGGCAAGCGUUGUUCGGAUUCAUUGGGCGUAAAGGGUGCGUAGGCGGCCUCAUAAGUCCGUUGUGAAAGUCAAAGGCUCAACCUUUGAAAGCCGAUGGAUACUGUGAGGCUAGAGUCCGGAAGAGGCGAGUGGAAUUCCUGGUGUAGCGGUGGAAUGCGCAGAUAUCAGGAGGAACACCAAUAGCGAAGGCAGCUCGCUGGGACGGUACUGACGCUAAGGCGCGAAAGCGUGGGGAGCGAACAGG